This is a long non-coding RNA of Drosophila biarmipes, 613 nucleotides long. RefSeq lists it as uncharacterized. The record is from RefSeq and is a predicted model, not a curated record. The transcript has 2 exons. NCBI's taxonomy places the organism in Eukaryota, Metazoa, Arthropoda, Insecta, Diptera, Drosophilidae.
ACCGAAAUUUAGACUAAUAGUAGACUGCUGAAAUUUAAACGAUAUUACUGUCAACUGGACAAAAUUGACGAUACCCCGAAUAUAAAAUGGAAAGAUGUGAAUAUUACAUACACAUACUACACAAAAAAAAACGAGUGAAGAUCAAUUUGAUAUGAGCAUGAUAAUUUUGAAAGACGCAUGCAAGAAGAAACAGCUAGUAAUGCAGAUGCAACAGUGAACGUUUUCCAACCAGUGAAAUUAGGCCGCUUAUGGCUUUUAUAUUUCAAACUCAAGCUCUUUGGCUUUAAGGUCCGAUCUUAGUUGCCAGCAAAGUUAAACGAAGCACAAUCAAUUGCGCCUUUUGCGUUUCAAAUUUCCACCAAACUGCAUCGGUCAGCAAAAUUGAAUUUCACAAUGAGAUCCGACAGUUUCAUCUUAAGCUUUUAAUCUAAACAUGUUUUAAAGUUCUAAAGUUAAAAAAGAAAAGCGCCUGGUUCAUUGGAUCAGAUUAGAAAAUGAGGCUUCAGUCGUAUUUUGUCCGACACUGCUUUCGGUUCGCAAUUAUAAAAACUACCUUGUAUUAAUUGUGUAUUUAGAAUAAAUGUUUACGACUUUUAAAAUACAUAUUUUUUAA